This 303-nucleotide ribosomal RNA is filed under the name uncultured bacterium. RNAcentral describes it as "partial 16S ribosomal RNA". It matches the Rfam family "Bacterial small subunit ribosomal RNA", at positions 507 to 807 of the family's 1533-position model. The record is from RNAcentral.
AGCAGUAGCCGCGGUAAUACGAAGGGUGCAAGCGUUAAUCGGAAUUACUGGGCGUAAAGCGUGCGUAGGCGGUGAGUUAAGUCUGCUGUGAAAUCCCCGGGCUCAACCUGGGAAUGGCAGUGGAUACUGGCUCGCUAGAGUGUGUCAGAGGAUGGUGGAAUUCUCGGUGUAGCGGUGAAAUGCGUAGAGAUCGGGAGGAACAUCAGUGGCGAAGGCGGCCAUCUGGGACAACACUGACGCUGAGGCACGAAAGCGUGGGGAGCAAACAGGAUUAGAUACCCCGGUAGUCCCUGUCUCUUAUAC